CAGCCGCGGUAAUUCCAGCUCCAAUAGCGUAUAUUAACGUUGUUGCAGUUAAAAAGCUCGUAGUUGAAAUGAAGGGUAGUUGUGUAAUGAAUACAUUCGUGUAUUUUGUUAUUCAAGUAUCCUCCUUCUAAAUUCGAUAUAUGAGUAUUAAUUUACUUGUAUAUGGUUUUAGACAUUUACUGUGAGAAAAUUAGAGUGUUCAAAGCAGGCAUUUGCUUGAAUAUAUUAGCAUGGAAUAAUCAUGUAUGAUUUUCAUGAUGUAUUUGAUUGGUUUGGUUGAUGAGAAUAAGAUUAAAAGGGACAGUUGGGGGUAUUCAUAUUCAAUAGUCAGAGGUGAAAUUCUCGGAUUUAUGGAAGAUGAACAAGUGCGAAAGCAUUUACCAAGGAUGUUUUCAUUAAUCAAGAACGAAAGUUAGGGGAUCGAAGAGGAU
This 431-nucleotide ribosomal RNA is filed under the name Blastocystis sp. subtype 3. RNAcentral's name for it is "SSU rRNA". It matches the Rfam family "Eukaryotic small subunit ribosomal RNA", at positions 571 to 1008 of the family's 1831-position model. Lineage: Eukaryota; Bigyra; Opalinata; Blastocystidae. The record is from RNAcentral.